Molecule: ribosomal RNA, 468 nt
Filed under: uncultured bacterium
Lineage: Bacteria
Description: partial 16S ribosomal RNA
Rfam family: Bacterial small subunit ribosomal RNA
Source: RNAcentral
GACGAACGCUGGCGGCGUGCUUAACACAUGCAAGUCGAACGGAGAGGCCCUGCCUUGGUGGUGUGCUCGAGUUGCGAACGGGUGAGUAACGCGUGGGUAACCUGCCCUUGACUUUGGGAUAACUUCAGGAAACUGGGGCUAAUACCGGAUAGGAGCACCUGCUGCAUGGUGGGGGUUGGAAAGUUGCGGCGGAUGGGGAAGGACGUGCGGCUGCUCAGCUUGUGGGAGGGGUAGCGGCUAACGCAGGCUUUGGCGGGUAGCCGGACUGAGAGGGUGACCGGCCACAUAGGGACUGAGGUACGGCCCAGACGGAUACGGGAGCAAGCAGUGGAGAAUAGUGCACGAUGGGCGGAAGCAGGAAGCAGGAACGCCGCGUCGGGGAUGACGGUCGUAGGGUUGUAAACCGCUUUCGCCUGGGACGAAGAGAGUGUGACGGUAAUUUGUAAAGAAGCACCGGCUAACUACGUG